Molecule: ribosomal RNA, 208 nt
Filed under: uncultured bacterium
Lineage: Bacteria
Description: partial 16S ribosomal RNA
Rfam family: Bacterial small subunit ribosomal RNA
Source: RNAcentral
CGCGUAGGCGGUUUGGUCAGUCAGAUGUGAAAGCCCCGGGCUCAACCUGGGAACUGCAUUUGAUACUGCUGAACUAGAAUGUGGUAGAGGGAAGUGGAAUUCCGGGUGUAGCGGUGAAAUGCGUAGAGAUCCGGAGGAACAUCAGUGGCGAAGGCGGCUUCCUGGACCAACAUUGACGCUGAGGGUGCGAAAGCGUGGGUAGCAAACA